Xyrichtys novacula (pearly razorfish) is the source of this 4143-nucleotide non-coding RNA. Lineage: Eukaryota; Metazoa; Chordata; Actinopteri; Labriformes; Labridae. The record is from the annotation of a GenBank genome assembly.
CUUUGGGGUUAAAUAUUGUUCUGUUUAGCUCUGUUGUUGCAGCAGCUCCAAGUUGAAUAGUUUAGGCCUUGCUCUAACUAAGAAUAUAUCUAAACAUUAUUGUUAUGAGUCGGCUCUACAUGUUGAUAUUGGCAUGUUAAAUGUACUAUCAGUUUUAUCUGGCAUGCUGCUGUGAAAAACAUACAAUGAAGGCCCAAGUGUUUAUUUUUUUUCUCCCAGAAUAGUUCUUAAGUUGUUUGAUGCUGUAAAAGUGACAACAACACCCUGACUGACAGCUCUGUUGACCAAUGAGGCUCUUCCAUCUUUGCACACAGUGAGGAGGAACGGGAGUCACAAAACUUCCUACAACAGUGAGUCUCUGCAGCAAACCUGAACAAGAAUCUACUCUACUGUGGACUCGAUGCUUGAUCAGUAAGUUCUGGGUUUUUUGGGCAAAGUUAGGAACAUGAUGUCAACAAAGGCCCCACCGAGGAAUCCCUGCUGCCCAGGAUUUUCCUCCAAAUACUCAAAAUGCCAGUGGGAUUUUCUUGCCUCAUUUAAGCACAACUGGAGUCGGUGUAGACAUACAGUUUAUCUUCAAGUACAGUCAAUGGUUUGUGCAGUUCAAAGAUCCCACUGAUGAUCCUUUCCAUCCAGAGCAGCAGCAGCAUAAGAGUCACCUCCAGAGGAGUAAAGCAGCCUGAGUCUCUGGGGCUCCGGGUGUUAAGUGACACUGGAUUGAAUUAGCAAAUAAAAUGGACAGGCUGUAGCCGGGUAAUUUACCAUGUCAGGGCAAAUCUAAUUAUCCCUGAGGUGCAGAUGGCAGUGUAUCCAUUACUAGAGCUGAACUGGUAAACGCAGGCCGCUGUUAUCUUACAAUCCCGAUUUCCUCUGCUUGGCUUUGUGGAGGAGGGAGCAUGAUAAUCAGAGGCUGAUUAAACAAGAUUACUGCAGAGGUAUUUAACACACUGAAGGAAGGCAGGACACACUCACUGACAGGUUUUUUACUUAACAGAUGUUUAAGAUAUAGACAGACAGCAGGCAGUUUCACUCUCUGCUUACAGUGUGAUUUACAGGACUCAACAGACUGACGAAUGAAAUCACAAACACAUUAAAGUAUUGAACAUGGUAUAGUUUGACUCACAUAAUUCAUUACUCUAAAAAAACAAUCACAAUUUCAGAUUAAGUUUGAAGAUAGAUAAUAACCUGUUAAAAGGAUGCCAAAACAUGUAUAUGAUGCUGAUUUGUGAAAAGUUUAAUGGUCAUCUUCAAAACAAAAAUACAACUUUAUAUAAUCCUUGUUUUUAUGGUGGAGUUUGGUUUUAACUUUUUAGAUGCAACAUCAAGAUGUGACAAGAUGUUGAAUCUGUUUGAAGAAUCUAUUAAAAAGUUGUCUUUGUUUGUUUCUGUUUGUUGUUUGCUGUCUAAGAAGUUUUGUUCUAUCAGGUGUCAGCAGGCUUUGGUGACUGCAGGAAAAACAGUCUGUAUUGAGACUAAGAGAUUAAAAACACAAUCAGACGGCCAUUUAUUUAUCUCAAUAAACAGAUAUUUGCAUGAAGGUCACAGACUAAUGAUCUGUUUUAGCUAAUCUGCUUGAUGCUGAGUCACUCAGGAUGAGCAGCAUUUAGAUUUCGACUUGUUAGAUUUCCUGACUUCCCUGAAUGCAUCAUCAAUGACAGCUCUGACCUCUAUUCGACAAACAAACAUUUUUAAAUUUUUUUUUUUGGUCUCUCGAUGACAGACCUAAUAAAGCUUGGCUUCUGAAUUUUUAUUAAUUACCACUUUAGUGCUUUUAUUUUAGCACGCUAAAAGCCUGCUUAAUGAUUAAAAAAAAAAAAAUUAUUAAUCAGUUUUUUUUCUGAGGUUCAUAUCGCUGUAAUCCGAAGUGAAGCCUAUGUGUGACUUCGUUUUUACAGCGAAACUGAGACUCAGCAGAGAACGAUAAGCACAGGUCAUGACUGGAUUCAUUUUGUGGUUGAAUUUUUCUCCACGUGUAAUCCAAACACCCUGGAGUUAUUUAACCUUGUCUUCAAAUGUGGGGUAAUAGUGGAACAAUGGGAACUUUUCUAUUGUUCAUUUUGUUUUUAAAGACUUCUUUUUUUCCCCUCUUUUCCUUUUAGACUUGUUAUGAGAGAUUGACAUCAGUUUAGCAACAAAUGUGGGCUUUUCUUGCUUAACGGCAUGGAGAAAGAUUCCAGGAAAGUGCAUGCCCAAACCCUCAGAUCGGUGAAAUACAGAAUUUCUUUUUCUGGUGUUCACCAUACAAGUUUUAUUUCCAUUAAGCAAGACACAGCUGGUACAGAAAUAACAUAACCAUUAAUGCAUGAAUUGCUAAGAAAUCUACCCAAAGCCCAAAAUGUCUGCUAGCCCAUGGGUCACCUUUGGGAAUUAUAAAAGUUUGCCAGAGUCUUUGUGGUGAUCCAUCAGAAAUUUUCAGAGAUAUUUCAGUCUGGAUUUAACUCACCAACUUUUCUAUCAGUAGAAAGAGUGCUAUGACUAGUGUUUUAAAUAGCUAAAGGUAUCAGCCAAUGGAGUCAAAUGUUGAUUUAGUGAUUUUCAUUUUCAUGCCCUCAGCAGGCGUCUUCCCUCAAUGAUACCUCGGCAUCUCACCCAUCCUCUAACACAAAUAUUUAGGUUCCUCUGAUACAUCUAAUAAAACUGUUUAGAGUCCCCCCAGUGCUUCACCUCAGAGGAAGGACGGAAAGUAUCCACAGUGCGGGGACCAGAGGAAGUGAAGAGCAGAGAGAGAUUGAAUGUCUAUGCACACCUUAUGUAAAUAUUUGAGACAUCUGCAGAUUCUGGGUAACCUUCUCUGUCUGAGAAAGAUUAACUGUUUCCUGUGAUUCUGACUCUCCCUCACCUUCCUGAUAAAUGCUGCUUCAUUUGCUGUUCUUAUCUCUGCUCUGUGUAACCUUUGUCUGAUGCCUUAAAGGAAACUUUGACUUUCUGUACCUGCAGAGUUUCUCUUUAUAUAAAAGGUUAUUGGAAACCAGAGGAUCUUUAAAGGAGGAAAUGAAAAAUUAGAGCUUCCAGUCUGGUUUAGGUAAUAUCAGAAUAUUAGGUAAUAUCAACUGCCUUUUAGAAAAGUUUGUUAUUCUUUGUUUUAGCAGCAGACCAAUAGAGUUGUACAUACCACUUAAGACUUUGGAGUUGAGUUUGAUUUUCUUUUUUUAAGUCAGUUGAAUUACAUUGUAAAGUUACCCUUGUUCGCAGAGGCUGAUAACCUUACUCCUGUACCACCCUCAGCUCCUUUUAGGCCAAAGAGUCAGCACUGAAGCAAGGCUAUCAACAGACAGGAUUGACUUUUGGAUGUAAUUUGGCUGUUUUCAAGAAGUCUCCUCCAAAUACAAAUUUUCAGUUUUUCCACGAUUUACACAUACAUGAUGCACCACCUGCAAUGCACUGAUCAGCUGUUUGCUUUAAGGGGCAUCAAAUGUCAUGUCAAGGAGACAAGAAAGUUUUUCUGCAAAACCUUUUGCUAAUUUAAUCAAACAUUAAAAAACCUUGUGGUUACUCAGAAGCUUGCCAAAGAGCAAAUUUAAGCUGGUGUAGGACACUCACUCCAUGACCAUGAAAAUGUGAUUCAUGCUUACAUUACUUUCUGCCUGGAUGAGUCCCCAUACAGUGGGGUCAAUCAGUUCUUCUCCUCCUCAUGUCUGCAGCAUGUGCAGGAGGCUGCUGCCAGAUUUUAACUCAUUCCUGAAGGCAUGAGCAUAUCUUCUUCUCAUUUGUCUACAUCCUCAGUCCCUAUACAUCUUAGACAGCUUUAAACUUGAAGCCAACUGUCUCCACGCUCUAAUUAGUGUUGAUGCAAACUGUUGUUAUUCUGAUUUAUACCAUACACUUCAAUGCAAACAUGCAUGUCCACCGAGAGGUCUCCUCUGGGCACUUCUUGGGCUGUUUGCCCACACAAGGUUAUUUGUUGGUGAAAUCGUUUUUCUUGUUGUUGUUGUUGUUUUUUUUUCCAUUAUCUCAAAUUCUGCAAAUUCAAACAUGAAUAAACUCAAUUUCUUUUUUGAUAGAAAUUGAUGCCUCUGUGUGUAAGGCACUUUUGUGUGUCCCUGUUUUUCCUCAAUGAAUAAAAACUCAUUUGAGAGGACAGUUUCUGAGAGUAAAGAGGAAAGGGGAGUGAUGAUGUGUUGCUCUGCUUUCAGUUUCCAGACU